Molecule: ribosomal RNA, 253 nt
Filed under: uncultured bacterium
Lineage: Bacteria
Description: partial 16S ribosomal RNA
Rfam family: Bacterial small subunit ribosomal RNA
Source: RNAcentral
UACGUAGGGUGCAAGCGUUAAUCGGAAUUACUGGGCGUAAAGCGUGCGCAGGCGGUUGUGCAAGACAGAUGUGAAAUCCCCGGGCUUAACCUGGGAAUUGCAUUUGUGACUGCACGGCUAGAGUGUGUCAGAGGGGGGUAGAAUUCCACGUGUAGCGGUGAAAUGCGUAGAUAUGUGGAGGAAUACCGAUGGCGAAGGCAGCCCCCUGGGAUAACACUGACGCUCAUGCACGAAAGCGUGGGGAGCAAACAGG